CUUAAUAUAUCCAUAUCUUAAGUAGAUGAAGUGAUAUGUGGUUUUGAUUGCCCUUUCCUCCUUUGGGACUUUUCAGUGAUGAAACCAGCUUUCCUGCAGUGGGAAGUUAGGGAACCCCCAAAAUAUAACCCAAGACUGGCAGCAGCGUAUGGUGAAUAUGAACCUGUUACAGGCUCUGUUCCUUGGCAAAGGAUAUAUUUUAUUCAGAUUUUAAAGAUUAGGAUUCUUUUGAACACUUGAGCAGAAAGUGUGACCAGUUCCACCUGAGCAGUACCUGGGUCAUCCUCCACAUUAGAUGUGCACAUAUAUGUUUGUAAGUAGACACAGAAUUGAUGCUAAGCUCAGCCAUGUAUUGGCAACAUAAACUCAUUAAA
Molecule: long non-coding RNA, 374 nt
Filed under: Coturnix japonica (Japanese quail)
Lineage: Eukaryota; Metazoa; Chordata; Aves; Galliformes; Phasianidae
Description: lncRNA (ENSCJPG00005020773.1)
Source: RNAcentral